RNAcentral lists this ribosomal RNA (1439 nucleotides) under uncultured organism. RNAcentral describes it as "SSU rRNA". It matches the Rfam family "Bacterial small subunit ribosomal RNA". The record is from RNAcentral.
CGCUAGCUACAGGCUUAACACAUGCAAGUUGAGGGGCAGCAUGGUCUUAGCUUGCUAAGGCCGAUGGCGACCGGCGCACGGGUGAGUAACACGUAUCCAACCUGCCGUCUACUCUUGGACAGCCUUCUGAAAGGAAGAUUAAUACAAGAUGGCAUCAUGAGUCCACAUGUUCACAUGAUUAAAGGUAUUCCGGUAGACGAUGGGGAUGCGUUCCAUUAGAUAGUAGGCGGGGUAACGGCCCACCUAGUCUUCGAUGGAUAGGGGUUCUGAGAGGAAGGUCCCCCACAUUGGAACUGAGACACGGUCCAAACUCCUACGGGAGGCAGCAGUGAGGAAUAUUGGUCAAUGGGCGAGAGCCUGAACCAGCCAAGUAGCGUGAAGGAUGACUGCCCUAUGGGUUGUAAACUUCUUUUAUAAAGGAAUAAAGUCGGGUAUGCAUACCCGUUUGCAUGUACUUUAUGAAUAAGGAUCGGCUAACUCCGUGCCAGCAGCCGCGGUAAUACGGAGGAUCCGAGCGUUAUCCGGAUUUAUUGGGUUUAAAGGGAGCGUAGAUGGAUGUUUAAGUCAGUUGUGAAAGUUUGCGGCUCAACCGUAAAAUUGCAGUUGAUACUGGAUAUCUUGAGUGCAGUUGAGGCAGGCGGAAUUCGUGGUGUAGCGGUGAAAUGCUUAGAUAUCACGAAGAACUCCGAUUGCGAAGGCAGCCUGCUAAGCUGCAACUGACAUUGAGGCUCGAAAGUGUGGGUAUCAAACAGGAUUAGAUACCCUGGUAGUCCACACGGUAAACGAUGAAUACUCGCUGUUUGCGAUGUACAGCAAGCGGCCAAGCGAAAGCGUUAGGUAUUCCACCUGGGGAGUACGCCGGCAACGGUGAAACUCAAAGGAAUUGACGGGGGCCCGCACAAGCGGAGGAACAUGUGGUUUAAUUCGAUGAUACGCGAGGAACCUUACCCGGGCUUAAAUUGCAGAUGAAUUACGGUGAAAGCCGUAAGCCGCAAGGCAUCUGUGAAGGUGCUGCAUGGUUGUCGUCAGCUCGUGCCGUGAGGUGUCGGCUUAAGUGCCAUAACGAGCGCAACCCUUGUUGUCAGUUACUAACAGGUCAUGCUGAGGACUCUGACAAGACUGCCAUCGUAAGAUGUGAGGAAGGUGGGGAUGACGUCAAAUCAGCACGGCCCUUACGUCCGGGGCUACACACGUGUUACAAUGGGGGGUACAGAGGGCCGCUACCACGCGAGUGGAUGCCAAUCCCAAAAACCUCUCUCAGUUCGGACUGGAGUCUGCAACCCGACUCCACGAAGCUGGAUUCGCUAGUAAUCGCGCAUCAGCCACGGCGCGGUGAAUACGUUCCCGGGCCUUGUACACACCGCCCGUCAAGCCAUGGGAGCCGGGGGUACCUGAAGUGCGUAACCGCGAGGAGCGCCCUAGGGUAAAACUGGUGACAG